Molecule: ribosomal RNA, 2890 nt
Filed under: Vibrio parahaemolyticus
Lineage: Bacteria; Pseudomonadati; Pseudomonadota; Gammaproteobacteria; Vibrionales; Vibrionaceae
Description: bacterial LSU rRNA
Rfam family: Bacterial large subunit ribosomal RNA
Source: RNAcentral
GGUUAAGUGACUAAGCGUACACGGUGGAUGCCUUGGCAGUCAGAGGCGAUGAAAGACGUAGUAACUUGCGAUAAGCCCAGAUUAGGUAGUAACAACCAUUUGAGUCUGGGAUUUCUGAAUGGGGAAACCCACGUGCAUAAGCACGUAUCCUUACCUGAAUACAUAGGGUAAGGAGGCGAACCGGGGGAACUGAAACAUCUAAGUACCCCGAGGAAAAGAAAUCAACCGAGAUUCCGAAAGUAGCGGCGAGCGAAAUUGGACUAGCCCUUAAGCUUUACACGCGUUAGACGAACGGUCUGGAAAGUCCGACGAUACAGGGUGAUAGUCCCGUAGUUGACGACGUGUGUUCAGUGAAAUCGAGUAGGGCGGGACACGUGAUAUCCUGUCUGAAUAUGGGGGGACCAUCCUCCAAGGCUAAAUACUACUGACUGACCGAUAGUGAACCAGUACCGUGAGGGAAAGGCGAAAAGAACCCCUGUGAGGGGAGUGAAAUAGAACCUGAAACCGUGUACGUACAAGCAGUAGGAGCACCUUCGUGGUGUGACUGCGUACCUUUUGUAUAAUGGGUCAGCGACUUAUAUUCAGUGGCAAGGUUAACCAUCUAGGGGAGCCGUAGGGAAACCGAGUCUUAACUGGGCGUUCAGUCUCUGGAUAUAGACCCGAAACCAGGUGAUCUAGCCAUGGGCAGGUUGAAGGUUGAGUAACAUCAACUGGAGGACCGAACCGACUAAUGUUGAAAAAUUAGCGGAUGACUUGUGGCUAGGGGUGAAAGGCCAAUCAAACCUGGAGAUAGCUGGUUCUCCCCGAAAGCUAUUUAGGUAGCGCCUCGGACGAAUACUACUGGGGGUAGAGCACUGUUAAGGCUAGGGGGUCAUCCCGACUUACCAACCCUUUGCAAACUCCGAAUACCAGUAAGUACUAUCCGGGAGACACACGGCGGGUGCUAACGUCCGUCGUGGAGAGGGAAACAACCCAGACCGCCAGCUAAGGUCCCAAAUUACUACUAAGUGGGAAACGAUGUGGGAAGGCUCAGACAGCCAGGAUGUUGGCUUAGAAGCAGCCAUCAUUUAAAGAAAGCGUAAUAGCUCACUGGUCGAGUCGGCCUGCGCGGAAGAUGUAACGGGGCUAAGUAGUAAACCGAAGCUGCGGCAAUAUACUUUUGUAUAUUGGGUAGGGGAGCGUUCUGUAAGCGGUUGAAGGUGUGUGGUAACGCAUGCUGGACGUAUCAGAAGUGCGAAUGCUGACAUGAGUAACGAUAAAGGGGGUGAAAAACCUCCUCGCCGGAAGACCAAGGGUUCCUGUCCAACGUUAAUCGGGGCAGGGUAAGUCGACCCCUAAGGCGAGGCCGAAAGGCGUAGUCGAUGGGAAACGGGUUAAUAUUCCCGUACUUCUUACAAUUGCGAUGGGGGGACGGAGAAGGCUAGGUGGGCCUGGCGACGGUUGUCCAGGUUCAAGUGCGUAGGCUUGAGAGUUAGGUAAAUCCGGCUCUUUCUAAGGCUGAGACACGACGUCGAGCACCUACGGGUGUGAAGUCAUUGAUGCCAUGCUUCCAGGAAAAGCCUCUAAGCUUCAGAUUGUAAGGAAUCGUACCCCAAACCGACACAGGUGGUCGGGUAGAGAAUACCAAGGCGCUUGAGAGAACUCGGGUGAAGGAACUAGGCAAAAUGGUACCGUAACUUCGGGAGAAGGUACGCUCUUGAUGGUGAAGUCCCUCGCGGAUGGAGCUGACGAGAGUCGCAGAUACCAGGUGGCUGCAACUGUUUAUUAAAAACACAGCACUGUGCAAAAUCGUAAGAUGACGUAUACGGUGUGACGCCUGCCCGGUGCCGGAAGGUUAAUUGAUGGGGUUAGACUUCGGUCGAAGCUCUUGAUCGAAGCCCCGGUAAACGGCGGCCGUAACUAUAACGGUCCUAAGGUAGCGAAAUUCCUUGUCGGGUAAGUUCCGACCUGCACGAAUGGCGUAAUGAUGGCCACGCUGUCUCCACCCGAGACUCAGUGAAAUUGAAAUCGCUGUGAAGAUGCAGUGUACCCGCGGCUAGACGGAAAGACCCCGUGAACCUUUACUACAGCUUGGCACUGAACAUUGACCCUACAUGUGUAGGAUAGGUGGGAGGCUUUGAAGCAGGUACGCCAGUAUCUGUGGAGCCGUCCUUGAAAUACCACCCUUGUAGUGUUGAUGUUCUAACGUCGACCCCUUAUCGGGGUUGCGGACAGUGCCUGGUGGGUAGUUUGACUGGGGCGGUCUCCUCCCAAAGAGUAACGGAGGAGCACGAAGGUGGGCUAAUCACGGUUGGACAUCGUGAGGUUAGUGCAAUGGCAUAAGCCCGCUUGACUGCGAGAAUGACAAUUCGAGCAGGUGCGAAAGCAGGUCAUAGUGAUCCGGUGGUUCUGAAUGGAAGGGCCAUCGCUCAACGGAUAAAAGGUACUCCGGGGAUAACAGGCUGAUACCGCCCAAGAGUUCAUAUCGACGGCGGUGUUUGGCACCUCGAUGUCGGCUCAUCACAUCCUGGGGCUGAAGUCGGUCCCAAGGGUAUGGCUGUUCGCCAUUUAAAGUGGUACGCGAGCUGGGUUUAGAACGUCGUGAGACAGUUCGGUCCCUAUCUGCCGUGGGCGUUGGAAGAUUGAAGGGGGCUGCUCCUAGUACGAGAGGACCGGAGUGGACGAACCUCUGGUGUUCGGGUUGUGUCGCCAGACGCAUUGCCCGGUAGCUAAGUUCGGAAUCGAUAACCGCUGAAAGCAUCUAAGCGGGAAGCGAGCCCUGAGAUGAGUCUUCCCUGAUACUUUAAGUAUCCUAAAGGGUUGUCGGAGACUACGACGUUGAUAGGUCAGGUGUGUAAGUGCUGUGAGGCAUUGAGCUAACUGAUACUAAUUGCCCGUGAGGCUUAACCAU